UUUUAUGGAGAGUUUGAUCCUGGCUCAGGAUGAACGCUGGCGGCGUGCCUAAUACAUGCAAGUCGAGCGAACAGACGAGGAGCUUGCUCCUCUGACGUUAGCGGCGGACGGGUGAGUAACACGUGGAUAACCUACCUAUAAGACUGGGAUAACUUCGGGAAACCGGAGCUAAUACCGGAUAAUAUAUUGAACCGCAUGGUUCAAUAGUGAAAGUCGGUUUUGCUGUCACUUAUAGAUGGAUCCGCGCCGCAUUAGCUAGUUGGUAAGGUAACGGCUUACCAAGGCAACGAUGCGUAGCCGACCUGAGAGGGUGAUCGGCCACACUGGAACUGAGACACGGUCCAGACUCCUACGGGAGGCAGCAGUAGGGAAUCUUCCGCAAUGG
RNAcentral lists this ribosomal RNA (385 nucleotides) under Staphylococcus epidermidis NIH05005. RNAcentral describes it as "bacterial SSU rRNA". It matches the Rfam family "Bacterial small subunit ribosomal RNA", at positions 1 to 374 of the family's 1533-position model. The record is from RNAcentral. Lineage: Bacteria; Bacillati; Bacillota; Bacilli; Caryophanales; Staphylococcaceae.